GGUCUAUGAAACCGGACGCACGGGUGCGUAACACGUAUGCAACCUACCCUUUACAGGACUAUAGCUCGGGGAAACUCGAAUUAAUGCUCCAUGAAAUAGUUGAAUGGCAUCAUUUGAUUAUUAAAGCUGAGGUGGUAAAGGAUGGGCAUGCGUCUGAUUAGCUAGUUGGUAGUGUAACGGACUACCAAGGCGAUGAUCAGUAGGGGAACUGAGAGGUUGAUCCCCCACACUGGCACUGAGAUACGGGCCAGACUCCUACGGGAGGCAGCAGUAGGGAAUAUUGGUCAAUGGGUGAGAGCCUGAACCAGCCAUGCCGCGUGCAGGAAGACGGCCUUCUGGGUUGUAAACUGCUUUUGCCAGGGGCUAAAAAGUCCAUGCGUGGAAAAUUGAAAGUACCUGGUGAAUAAGCCACGGCUAACUACGUGCCAGCAGCCGCGGUAAUACGUAGGUGGCAGCGUUGUCCGGAUUUAUUGGGUUUAAAGGGUGCNUAGGCGGCUCUGUAAGUCAGUGCUGAAAUAUCCCGGCUUAACUGGGAGGGUGGCAUUGAUACUGUGGGGCUAGAGUACAGAUGAGGUANGCGGAAUUGACGUGUANCCGUGA
Molecule: ribosomal RNA, 600 nt
Filed under: uncultured Marivirga sp.
Lineage: Bacteria; Pseudomonadati; Bacteroidota; Cytophagia; Cytophagales; Marivirgaceae
Description: bacterial SSU rRNA
Rfam family: Bacterial small subunit ribosomal RNA
Source: RNAcentral